Herpailurus yagouaroundi (jaguarundi) is the source of this 1550-nucleotide long non-coding RNA. RefSeq lists it as uncharacterized. The record is from RefSeq and is a predicted model, not a curated record. The transcript has 2 exons. NCBI's taxonomy places the organism in Eukaryota, Metazoa, Chordata, Mammalia, Carnivora, Felidae.
CGAAGUCAUAUGAAGCAUAACCUUUGCCGGCUGCAGAAGUCGCACCUGGUUUUUCUGGGCUGGAGGAGGCCCGCCUCCCCACGUCCUUCAAAGCCGCAGGCCUGGCUGCUGCAAGGGCCCAGGGAUCUUCCUCUUGCACCACAAAUGCCAUCGCUCCCAUCGCUAAAGGGAGCGAACUGAAGUGGGCCACCAGGGCAAGAGGUGAAUGGGGCUCAGGGUAGUGGAUUUGGGGAAGAGAAGGAAAGUUGAAUGGCAAGAGUCAGACACCUACGUAAAGACUUGGAAAGCUGCCAGCGCUGUGUCAGGUGGGGGACGCAAUGAGAACGCUGGUGUCUCACAGGGAAUACAAAUGCUUUCAGUAUGCAUUCUACUUAUUCCUCAACAUGACCUCUUGGAGUCACUGCCAAGUCAGGAGGAGCAAGAGGUUCUAGGAUCCUUGUCGCCUCGUGCAUUCUUUUAUUUACUCGACGAACACUGGUGAGGACAUAGGAAUUCGACAGUGGUGUCCCCCCAGCCUGGAUGUGAUGUGGCCCUGUCUCCCCAUGGCUAAUAUGGCUAUUUCACAAGACUUCCUUAAGCAGAGUACUCUAUUGGGCUGUAGAGCGCUCGCGAUACGAAAGGUCACCUCAUUCUGAAACUAACCCAUCCGUUGAUGAGGAAGGUUAUGCCAUAAUUACGUAAAGUUGGAGGAGCAGCUGCAAAUGACACAGACCCCAGCCACAAGCUCUCACCCGAAUACCAUUGGUCAGGCCAUCGGUGAACAUUACAGAGCACCUACCAUUUGCCAGAUGUGUGCUAAGCAUGAGGGGGAGUAGUGGCCGAAAGAAGCAGGAACUCUGCCUUGAUGGUAAAUUGGACUUCACCAAUAGAGCAAAUGUAGACGUUCUACAUUCCACAUAAUUCAUAAUUAUUUUAAGCGAUUGAGUAGACAAUUUAAAGUAAAAAGAUGCUCCAAGCCACAAACACUAGGGGCUGUGAGAAGUCCAGAUAAAGGGACCUAACACUUUUUUGUAACAGGGGUGGGCAGGAAAGGCUACGUUGAGUUUCUUAAGCUCCCCUGGUCUGAGAAUCUCUGCGAAAUGAGGUUGUGGGACUCAAGCAAUAUCUCCCACAGAAUGUGGUCACCUGAGUUCUACAAAGUUGAGCUGGCUUCUUUACUGAGGGCCUUGUUGGUCUUUAGUGUGCAAAUACGCAUUAUGAAUCUCAAAGGGACUCUCUAGACUGAAGAAGUUCCCAAGCUCUUUGGGGAACGUUUUUGUGCAGAAUAUUUAUAGCAACUGGCGUUCUAAGGAAGACCAUUUAGAAAGUAUUUGAGUAGGUGUCUCAGGCCUCUGCCAGCUUUAAAAUUCAAUUAUUAUGUCUUCGAGCAUGUCAUAGGGAAAAAACAGCAGCAACAAAAAAGGAAUCCAACAUUAAUGUGUAGCAAAGACCGGAUGGGUGGGCUCUGGGAGAUGGAAAUUGUGGCAGAAAAUCUAUGGAGGACUUCCUGACAGCCUAAACUCAGAUGGAAGGGAUAAUCGAGGCUUGGAUAUUCUUUAAAUAUAAAGUAU